ACGUGGGGCCCCUUCGUCCCCGGCGUCCGGGCGCCUCGUACCAGCCCCCACCUUGGCCUCAGUCCGGCGGCUGCGUCCGCUACGCAGAAAGACUUGAGAGUCACCCACCCCACCAAGUGCCGCUCGGGCUUGUGGUGUUUGGGGAUGUGCUAGGAACUCGGGCCACUAGAAGAAUGGCGUCCAUUUACAUAAUGCUUUGUUUGCAUUUUGUUGGCUUCUGUUAGCGAAGCCCCACCUCCUGCCCUUGUGUUUUAUCUCCCACGAUAGCUUCUGAAACUUUAGAGGGGCAGUGCGCAUUGUUGGGGUGCCGGCAUGGCCCCCGUGUCCGCGCUGGCUCGCGAGCCGCUUGGGCCACGCUCUCUGGAGGCGGCCAACCCUCGGCGCGGCCGCCAUCUUGGGAGGUCUUCCUGACCGAGCCCUCCCGCCAGGAAAUGGCCAUCGGAACGCUGGAGAGCGGCUGUGAUUUCCUUGCCAGUUCCUUGUGCCGCCGCCAUAGUCAGCCUAGAGGAGAGCAAGACAAACCCAGAGAAAUGAAGUGACUGACCCAAGGUUAUACAGAACGGAAUCUAUAUCUUCUGAUUUCCCUACUGCCAUGGUGACUGCAUCAGCCUGAGAAGACUGAGCUGCUUGAGAUUUCAGGGGACUGGAGAUGGCUCAAGAGUUGAGAGCUUUGGCUGUGGCUUGGGAGAAAACAAGACUUGAAAGGAGCAGAUCUUGUUUCACCACAUGUCUUGCCUCAGUAUGUGAGUCUGUGUCAGCUGACUUCAUUCUGUCAGUCCACCUGAGUCUGAGGACGUGGAAGAAGCUGCCAGCACACCAGAAGGUUUUUGCUCAGGCUGGCCUUGAGGAUGACCCUGAGCUUCUGACCUUGCCUGCCAUCUCUCAGGUGCUGGAAUUACAGGCGGAAACAUGGUAGCACCGUGCUUCAGAAGGUGACUGUGAAGCUAGAUUGCCUAACCUUGGAUGCAUCACAUAUCUUCCUCUGUCCCUCAGACCUUUGUGGGCUGCAGAAAUGCUAAGAGUGCCUGCUUCUCUUCAAGAAGACCAGAGUUCGAUUUCCAGCAUCCAUAUUCAGGAGCUCUAGGGAAUUCAACAUUCUCUUCUUGACCUCCUCAAGCACCCCUGCACAUAUGGCUUAUAAACACAUAAACACACAGGAAGAAAAAGUAAAAGAAAUCUUAAAAACA
This is a long non-coding RNA of Apodemus sylvaticus (European woodmouse), 1187 nucleotides long. RefSeq lists it as uncharacterized. The record is from RefSeq and is a predicted model, not a curated record. Lineage: Eukaryota; Metazoa; Chordata; Mammalia; Rodentia; Muridae. The transcript is spliced from 7 exons.